CAGCUACAGGACAAGCCUUCCCACUAUUCACGGAUGGGGAAGAAAACUGCCCAACGGUUCCUGGACUGGCUUUCUUGGUCAACUUCACAGAGACGAAUGCGACGUCAAUUUCAUGUUCUUCAGCCCAACUGCCGAGCGGAAUGAGGUAGGCGAACCCAGCGACAUUUUGUGGUACGAAGACUUCAUCAUUGUGGGAGGCUUCAGCAAGGACGCUGUAGUACAGCAAACCAGCAUCACCAGUUCAUUUUCAGUUUUCCGAGCAGAGGUCUGGGUGCUUCUUUUCGGAUCUCUCGUGGUGUGUGCAAUCAUCCUGUCAAUGGCUCCAGGCUCCCGCUUCAAGUUUCUCUCCAGGUUAAAGGACAACACGUUUCGGCUCUUGGCAAGCGUGUUUCUUGAAGGCACGUGCUUUUCUU
This is a long non-coding RNA of Rhipicephalus sanguineus (brown dog tick), 413 nucleotides long. RefSeq lists it as uncharacterized. The record is from RefSeq and is a predicted model, not a curated record. The transcript has 3 exons. Lineage: Eukaryota; Metazoa; Arthropoda; Arachnida; Ixodida; Ixodidae.